UCUAAUUUUCGCCAUCCAACCUUGGUUGUUCAAGAAGGAUUGAUCUUGUCUUCAAGUGGGAGUUAGAUUUUUGGGGUCUCCAGGUUUUGAGGCCUUGUAUGCCUACUUGG
Molecule: long non-coding RNA, 110 nt
Organism: Dioscorea cayenensis subsp. rotundata (Guinea yam)
Lineage: Eukaryota; Viridiplantae; Streptophyta; Magnoliopsida; Dioscoreales; Dioscoreaceae
Exons: 3
Source: RefSeq, a predicted model, not a curated record